UAAAAUCAAAUAGACACUUAGCUUCUUAAAUGGACAAAUUGUGUCUAACAAUAUGAGAUUGAGCAAUAACAGGUCUGUGAUGCCCUUAGAUGUCCUGGGCUGCACGCGCGCUACAAUGAAGGUAUCAACGUGUAUUUCCUAGGCCGAGAGGUCCGGGUAAACCGCUGAACCACCUUCUUGCUUGGGAUUGUGAACUGAAACUGUUCACAUGAACCUGGAAUUCCCAGUAAGUGCGAGUCAUUAACUCGCAUUGAUUACGUCCCUGCCCUUUGUACACACCGCCCGUCGCUACUACCGAUUGAAUUGUUUAGUGAGGUCUCCGGACGUGAUCGCUG
This 335-nucleotide ribosomal RNA is filed under the name Pessonella sp. PRA-29. RNAcentral describes it as "partial Eukaryotic small subunit ribosomal RNA". It matches the Rfam family "Eukaryotic small subunit ribosomal RNA", at positions 1386 to 1725 of the family's 1831-position model. The record is from RNAcentral. Lineage: Eukaryota; Discosea; Flabellinia; Vannellidae.